RNAcentral lists this non-coding RNA (27 nucleotides) under Homo sapiens (human). Lineage: Eukaryota; Metazoa; Chordata; Mammalia; Primates; Hominidae. The record is from RNAcentral.
CACGGGUCACCACAGCCUUAACCUCUC